AGUGAACGCUGGCGGUAGGCCUAACACAUGCAAGUCGGACGGCAGCACAGUAAGAGCUUGCUCUUACGGGUGGCGAGUGGCGGACGGGUGAGGAAUACAUCGGAAUCUACUUUUUCGUGGGGGAUAACGUAGGGAAACUUACGCUAAUACCGCAUACGACCUACGGGUGAAAGCAGGGGAUCUUCGGACCUUGCGCGAUUGAAUGAGCCGAUGUCGGAUUAGCUAGUUGGCGGGGUAAAGGCCCACCAAGGCGACGAUCCGUAGCUGGUCUGAGAGGAUGAUCAGCCACACUGGAACUGAGACACGGUCCAGACUCCUACGGGAGGCAGCAGUGGGGAAUAUUGGACAAUGGGCGCAAGCCUGAUCCAGCCAUACCGCGUGGGUGAAGAAGGCCUUCGGGUUAUAAAGCCCUUUUGUUGGGAAAGAAAAGCAGCAGGUUAAUACCCCGCUGUUCUGACGGUACCCAAAGAAUAAGCACCGGCUAACUUCGUG
Molecule: ribosomal RNA, 492 nt
Filed under: uncultured bacterium
Lineage: Bacteria
Description: partial 16S ribosomal RNA
Rfam family: Bacterial small subunit ribosomal RNA
Source: RNAcentral